AGCAGCAGCAACCGCCACUGCUGCUCCGAGAAGCCGCGUGUUACCGUUGAAUGAAGGUGGAUAAGGAAAAACACACUGCUGAAGAACUAAAUCGUGGCUGUUUACAGCGCAAAUCUUUGGCUGUACCUCAUAACGAAGACAGAGAUUUAGUGGGUGCACCUGACUAGAGUGUGUGUCGUGUUACAUCUUCCCUUUUUGAUGUCAAACCCCAUGGAAAAGGGUCAGAGGCUGUGGCUGUUUUGGGGGUUUGUGCCCCCCCCCCCAGGAGCCCCAGGAG
Solea senegalensis (Senegalese sole) is the source of this 277-nucleotide long non-coding RNA. RefSeq lists it as uncharacterized. The transcript is spliced from 3 exons. NCBI's taxonomy places the organism in Eukaryota, Metazoa, Chordata, Actinopteri, Pleuronectiformes, Soleidae. The record is from RefSeq and is a predicted model, not a curated record.